This 253-nucleotide ribosomal RNA is filed under the name uncultured bacterium. RNAcentral describes it as "partial 16S ribosomal RNA". It matches the Rfam family "Bacterial small subunit ribosomal RNA", at positions 524 to 776 of the family's 1533-position model. The record is from RNAcentral.
UACGAAGGGGGCUAGCGUUGCUCGGAAUCACUGGGCGUAAAGCGCACGUAGGCGGCUUCUUAAGUCAGGGGUGAAAUCCCGGGGCUCAACCUCAGAACUGCCCUUGAUACUGAGGAGCUUGAGUCCGGGAGAGGCGAGUGGAACUCCGAGUGUAGAGGUGAAAUUCGUAGAUAUUCGGAAGAACACCAGUGGCGAAGGCGGCUCACUGGCCCGGUACUGACGCUGAGGUGCGAAAGCGUGGGGAGCAAACAGG